Long non-coding RNA from Nomascus leucogenys (northern white-cheeked gibbon), 552 nucleotides. RefSeq lists it as uncharacterized. The transcript has 3 exons. Lineage: Eukaryota; Metazoa; Chordata; Mammalia; Primates; Hylobatidae. The record is from RefSeq and is a predicted model, not a curated record.
UGAACACAUGCAUGCAUGGUACUUAAUCACUAACAUUUUUAAGGGUAUUGGAUAACUUGUCUUUCUGAUGUGUUUGACAUUGGCAUGGAUGAUGUUUUUUCUUUUUUUCACAGACUUUUCAGAGAUGAAUAAUGUUUUUUCUUAAAAGCAGUUGUUUGAGCGGCAGUGUCUUUCAGCUGGUCUUGUUUGUGUCAAUAAAUGUCUGUUGUUUAUGUUACUAUUGGUAACUGAUCAGUGGAAGAAAUGUUAAUCAGCAAAUGGAGAGUCCUGGAAUGAUAAGCCUUUCAACCUCUGAUUUGGUUCCUCUCAGCUUUGUGGAAUAAAGGCCAUGGAGUCCUGUUCAAAGUCUCCAGAAAAGCUACACUGUCAGUGUCUUCAGGCAGAUUAACCAGUCCUAUCAUUUAGUAACUUCAAUGAAAGUCGCCGCACGUUUUUGUCCUGGAUUUCUUGAGAAUCCGUUGGAGAGAGAAGUGAAAUCCGUAUUUAAAAGGCUGUGGAACAUUGUGCAUCUAAAGUACUCAGCAAGUUAUUCCCUAAAGCACUCCAUAUGAU